Molecule: ribosomal RNA, 253 nt
Filed under: uncultured prokaryote
Description: partial 16S ribosomal RNA
Rfam family: Bacterial small subunit ribosomal RNA
Source: RNAcentral
ACGAAGGGGGCAAGCGUUGUUCGGAUUUACUGGGCGUAAAGCGUACGUAGGCGGAUCAUUAAGUCAGGGGUGAAAUCCCGGGGCUCAACCUCGGAACUGCCUUUGAUACUGGUGAUCUUGAGUCCGGGAGAGGUGAGUGGAACUCCUAGUGUAGAGGUGAAAUUCGUAGAUAUUAGGAAGAACACCAGUGGCGAAGGCGGCUCACUGGCCCGGAACUGACGCUGAGGUACGAAAGCGUGGGGAGCAAACAGGA